GCGCAACCCUUUGUCCUUAGUUACCAGCACGUUAUGUGGGCACUCUAAGGAGACUGCCGGUGGACAAACCGGAGGAAGGUGGGGAUGACGUCAAGUCAUCAUGGCCCUUACGGCCUGGGCUACACACGUGCUACAAUGGUCGGUACAAAGGGUUGCCAAGCCGCGAGGUGGAGCUAAUCCCAUAAAACCGAUCGUAGUCCGGAUCGCAGUCUGCAACUCGACUGCGUGAAGUCGGAAUCGCUAGUAAUCGUGAAUCAGAAUGUCACGGUGAAUACGUUCCCGGGCCUU
RNAcentral lists this ribosomal RNA (288 nucleotides) under uncultured Pseudomonas sp. Its description in RNAcentral is "partial 16S ribosomal RNA". It matches the Rfam family "Bacterial small subunit ribosomal RNA", at positions 1096 to 1382 of the family's 1533-position model. Lineage: Bacteria; Pseudomonadati; Pseudomonadota; Gammaproteobacteria; Pseudomonadales; Pseudomonadaceae. The record is from RNAcentral.